This 251-nucleotide ribosomal RNA is filed under the name uncultured prokaryote. RNAcentral's name for it is "partial 16S rRNA". It matches the Rfam family "Bacterial small subunit ribosomal RNA", at positions 525 to 775 of the family's 1533-position model. The record is from RNAcentral.
ACGUAGGGGGCAAGCGUUGUUCGGAAUUACUGGGCGUAAAGGGCAUGUAGGCGGUUUAGUAAGCUUGGCGUGAAAGACCACAGCUCAACUGUGGGGUUGCGUUGAGAACUGCUGAACUUGAGUUACGGAGAGGGAGCUAGAAUUCCUGGUGUGGGGGUGAAAUCUGAAAAGAUCACGAAGAAUACCGAUGGCGUAGGCAAGCAACUGGACUAGAUCUGAGUGUGAGCUGCGAAAGUGUGUGGAUAGGUGUG